Physcomitrium patens is the source of this 1901-nucleotide non-coding RNA. Lineage: Eukaryota; Viridiplantae; Streptophyta; Bryopsida; Funariales; Funariaceae. The record is from RefSeq and is a predicted model, not a curated record.
GGCUUCGGCCAAUCGCGAGAUGGACAACCGAAAAUAGCUUCAUGGGUCAAUAGAAAGAUUCUCAGUGCCUGUUUCAACAGUAGCCAUGGCUGCAAUUUGCGAUGCAUAGGAAGGAUUUACCCGCAGAUAGACUGCUCGCAGGUUUUUACGAGUCUGCCUCUCGCUUGUUCGUCACUUGUCUGACCUUCGCGCGUCGACUAGAGUGAGAAAGUACAUAAGAAGAGCUCUUCCGUGGUUUUGCAGAUCGUUGUCUCGCUACGAAAGGUACACACACAAGCUCCGGAUCUCGACGAAUGUAGGCGAUGUGGUGUCCGAAUUUGGAGCUCACCUUCCUAGUUCCCUCCAUCUCACACUCCACGCCUGGUAGGGUGCAUUCCAAGUGCCGUCCCUUGGAAGCCGCAGUUUGGCACGAAGCCCUUUCUCCUGCCGCUACUGUUUUGUUAGUCAGGUUUGCAGCGUGUCUCGAUAUAGUGGUGUGCUUCCGUUGCUAUCCUUUCCCUCCAGGUAGGAAUUCUGUGGCAAACUAGUGGUUGGUUCGCUUAUCAAGUUGCAGUCCUUCAUACCUUGAUUUUGAAUUACUGCAGUCACACCCUUCUUGUCGGCAGUUUUUUUUUUUUUUGUGUGUCCUACCGACUGCACUGACUGCAGAAAGUCGAAGCAAUGGAGGUGUCGUUGCAUUUUCCUCAUAGUUUUGCUAGCUUCUACUUCUGGGUUGAUGUUGAACCCACUCCACCCACUUGUAGCGGAAAGAUGUUAGAAUUUCGUGCCAAGCUGUGUGCAACCAAGGGGUUUGUUACUUCAAAUCCACAUCGGAGGAGCGUCCCUACCAGUACACCAUGAAUAUCUUAAGAAUGAAACCCUCUCAGAACGCUCCCCCCGGCAAGUUGGAGAACCCCCGAACCGCAAAAGUGGUAACAAUAAUCUCGAUCCUUGCAACCUUCCGCUGUUUGUUGUUACUGUGCAGUUAUCCACAACCUAGCAUGUGUAACCAAGGGGCCUUGGUUGAAAAAUAAUCUUUUUGUAUUCUCCAUUUCGCUAGUUUGAAUUCCGUGACUUUGCUUUGGGGAUUGAAUCUAACUAAAGAGCAUCAGUUUCCGAGUUUUGCGACGAUCUCAGGUAGUCCCUCGGUCACAGGCUCUUCUUUUCUGGCCCCUCUCCUUGCUCCUCUUGCAAGUUUCUCCAUCUAGAAGAGUCCACAGCUUGCAUCUCCCUCCCAGAGUAGGCAAGUGUGUUUGAGAGAGAUAGAUAGGGAGAAAACAAAAUCAGUUUCAAAUGUGUUGUAGGUGGAGCCACCGAAUUUUUAGAUCCAUUAUGAAGGAUGAGAAUCGUGCGAGAUAACUACUAUCGGAUGUGGAGCUACCCCCUCGGGCCCAGGACGUGGUUCAUCAUGUAUAUGAUGACUGCAGUAAAUCCGACAAAGACACGUUGGUGGUUGUGCAGGCGACUGGACGGUUCUCUCUCAAUUGUUCGCGUAGUAUCUGACUUGGAAAUGUUCAAAAUAAUUAUUGUAUUUACUAGAGCCGAGUAUUGCAUUAAAGUGUGUAACCUCUUACUGAUUUGAAGGUGAAGUUGCAUUGAAAUAUACGCCUCUCGAACAGUGUGCCGCUCUCGAUAGAGCCCAUAGCUUGAGAGUAUCUUUUGCCCAGAUAUUUGCCUUACCAGUAAUGAGGUCUUUGACUAUACUCCACUCAGGGUCCUUCAAAACCGGGCCCAGGGCCACGGUCCUUCAAAACUGGUAUUCAGUUAAGCAGAAGCUCGCCAAGUCAUUAGAGUUGUUCCUCACUCCCCCGAAGAACAGUUGCAUCAUUGGAGAAAAGUUGAACGCAUGUGUGUUCACAUUCAAUCUCGUGUAGUCGUCGUUCUGAACAAUUUUAGUUCUUCAACUGAGUUAAGAAGUUACA